GGAGACAUGGCUCAAGUGGUAGAGUGAUUGCCUAAUAAGCACAAGGUCCUGAGUUCAAAUCCCACUGCCUCAA
Molecule: transfer RNA, 73 nt
Filed under: Dipodomys ordii (Ord's kangaroo rat)
Lineage: Eukaryota; Metazoa; Chordata; Mammalia; Rodentia; Heteromyidae
Rfam family: tRNA
About the family: Transfer RNA (tRNA) molecules are approximately 80 nucleotides in length. Their secondary structure includes four short double-helical elements and three loops (D, anti-codon, and T loops). Further hydrogen bonds mediate the characteristic L-shaped molecular structure. tRNAs have two regions of fundamental functional importance: the anti-codon, which is responsible for specific mRNA codon recognition, and the 3' end, to which the tRNAs corresponding amino acid is attached (by aminoacyl-tRNA synthetases). tRNAs cope with the degeneracy of the genetic code in two manners: having more than one tRNA (with a specific anti-codon) for a particular amino acid; and 'wobble' base-pairing, i.e. permitting non-standard base-pairing at the 3rd anti-codon position.
Source: Rfam by way of RNAcentral